This 447-nucleotide ribosomal RNA is filed under the name uncultured bacterium. RNAcentral describes it as "bacterial SSU rRNA". It matches the Rfam family "Bacterial small subunit ribosomal RNA", at positions 329 to 792 of the family's 1533-position model. The record is from RNAcentral.
CGCCAGACUCCUACGGGAGGCAGCAGUGGGGGAUAUUGCGCAAUGGGGGAAACCCUGAUGCAGCGACGCCGCGUGGGUGAAGGAGUGCUUCGGCAUGUAAAGCCCUAUCGGCAGGGAAGAAGCAAGACGGUACCUGACUAAGAAGCCCCGGCUAACUACGUGCCAGCAGCCGCGGUAAUACGUAGGGGGCGAGCGUUAUCCGGAUUCACUGGGUGUAAAGGGAGCGUAGACGGCCAUGCAAGCCAGGGGUGAAAGCCCGGGGCCCAACCCCGGGACUGCCCUUGGAACUGCAUGGCUGGAGUGCGGGAGGGGCAGGCGGAAUUCCUGGUGUAGCGGUGAAAUGCGUAGAUAUCAGGAGGAACACCAGUGGCGAAGGCGGCUUGCUGGACGAUGACCGACGUUGAGGCUCGAAAGCGUGGGGAGCAAACAGGGUUAGAUACCCCGGUA